CGGGAUGUGGCUUAGCCUGGUCUAGAGCACUCCCUUGGGGUGGGAGAGAUCGCUGGUUCGAAUCCAGUCAUCCCGA
Molecule: transfer RNA, 76 nt
Filed under: Deltaproteobacteria bacterium RIFCSPHIGHO2_02_FULL_40_11
Lineage: Bacteria; Deltaproteobacteria
Description: tRNA-Pro
Rfam family: tRNA
About the family: Transfer RNA (tRNA) molecules are approximately 80 nucleotides in length.
Source: RNAcentral